CAGUAGCCGCGGGAAUACGUAGGGUGCAAGCGUUAAUCGGAAUUACUGGGCGUAAAGCGUGCGCAGGCGGUUCGCUAAGACAGAUGUGAAAUCCCCGGGCUUAACCUGGGAACUGCAUUUGUGACUGGCGGGCUAGAGUAUGGCAGAGGGGGGUAGAAUUCCACGUGUAGCAGUGAAAUGCGUAGAGAUGUGGAGGAAUACCGAUGGCGAAGGCAGCCCCCUGGGCCAAUACUGACGCUCAUGCACGAAAGCGUGGGGAGCAAACAGGAUUAGAUACCCCUGUAGUCCCUGUCUCUUAUAC
This 301-nucleotide ribosomal RNA is filed under the name uncultured bacterium. Its description in RNAcentral is "partial 16S ribosomal RNA". It matches the Rfam family "Bacterial small subunit ribosomal RNA", at positions 509 to 807 of the family's 1533-position model. The record is from RNAcentral.